AUUGAACGCUGGCGGCAUGCUUUACACAUGCAAGUCGAACGGCAGCGCGGGCUUCGGCCUGGCGGCGAGUGGCGAACGGGUGAGUAAUGCAUCGGAACGUGCCCAGUAGUGGGGGAUAGCCCGGCGAAAGCCGGAUUAAUACCGCAUACGACCUGAGGGUGAAAGCGGGGGACCGAGAGGCCUCGCGCUAUUGGAGCGGCCGAUGUCGGAUUAGCUAGUUGGUGGGGUAAAGGCUUACCAAGGCGUCGAUCCGUAGCUGGUCUGAGAGGACGACCAGCCACACUGGGACUGAGACACGGCCCAGACUCCUACGGGAGGCAGCAGUGGGGAAUUUUGGACAAUGGGGGCAACCCUGAUCCAGCCAUGCCGCGUGCGGGAAGAAGGCCUUCGGGUUGUAAACCGCUUUUGUUCGGGAAGAAAUCCUCUGGGCUAAUACCCCGGGGGGAUGACGGUACCGGAAGAAUAAGCACCGGCUAACUACGUG
RNAcentral lists this ribosomal RNA (484 nucleotides) under uncultured bacterium. RNAcentral's name for it is "partial 16S ribosomal RNA". It matches the Rfam family "Bacterial small subunit ribosomal RNA", at positions 28 to 507 of the family's 1533-position model. The record is from RNAcentral.